UCACCUGUACUAUACCAUCUUGU
This 23-nucleotide small nuclear RNA is filed under the name Arabidopsis thaliana (thale cress). RNAcentral's name for it is "snRNA_06135". Lineage: Eukaryota; Viridiplantae; Streptophyta; Magnoliopsida; Brassicales; Brassicaceae. The record is from RNAcentral.